AGGAUGAACGCUAGCGGCAGGCCUAAUACAUGCAAGUCGAACGGGGUGUAGCAGCAAUGCUGCACUUAGUGGCGCACGGGUGCGUAACGCGUAUGCAACCUGCCUUUUACCGGGGGAUAGCCUUCCGAAAGGGAGAUUAAUACCGCAUAAGACCGUUGGCUGGCAUCAGUCGGCGGUGAAAACUCCGGUGGUAAAAGAUGGGCAUGCGUCCGAUUAGCUAGUUGGCGGGGUAGUGGCCCACCAAGGCGACGAUC
RNAcentral lists this ribosomal RNA (254 nucleotides) under uncultured bacterium. RNAcentral's name for it is "partial small subunit ribosomal RNA". It matches the Rfam family "Bacterial small subunit ribosomal RNA", at positions 26 to 281 of the family's 1533-position model. The record is from RNAcentral.